CAUAUGUGAAUCUCAUGAAACUCUUUUUCAGUAUUCACACUUACUUUAGCUAGAAAUUUUUUGAACUCAGUCUUACGAAUCGCAUAGGACUUCUCUUUUUCUACAAAGAUCGAUAGAUUCCAUCUAAGUGCAUCCUACUCUAAACAGCGAAUCUGAACCUACAAUAGCCAACAUACAUAGUAAGAACCCAAAUGGCUAGUGGUCAAGAAAACAUGCAGUCAAACUAAGUAGCUUCACUGUGAAUAGCCAACACAUCGUAGGUCAAAGGACCAGUCACACUACUAC
Molecule: long non-coding RNA, 285 nt
Filed under: Elaeis guineensis (African oil palm)
Lineage: Eukaryota; Viridiplantae; Streptophyta; Magnoliopsida; Arecales; Arecaceae
Description: long non-coding RNA (EGUI_LNC020027)
Source: RNAcentral